AAUUCAUUUUUGUGUCUCAUCAAGUAAACAGACAUUCUUCCAUUUUAGGGCAACCUGAAAUGAAUUUUCAUAUUUUUCCCCAGUUUGGUACGAAUGUCCUCAGGUGAAGGGUAUAUAUUUGCGAGCAGGCCCCUUGUGAUCUUUCAUAGUCAGGAUGGUAGAACACAGAUUUCGUUAGAGGUCUAACCUUUGGACUUCAAUUAACACACAGCAGCUACAUGGGAGUCAGAAAUGUAUUAUUCCUUUAAUCAGAAAUAUCCGCAGCAGACCAUUCAAUAACCCAGCACUGAAAGGUGCAAUCUAUAUAUGUAGAAAAGAAUAUCAAAAGGGAUAGCAGCAGUCUUAGUACACAGCCAUCAUUUGGGGCCCAAAUUCUCCUUUAGGCAUUAAUAAACCCCAUCUAUUCUGUGUAGCAAGAGACUGCAUCAUAAAGUACAUAGAUUUGUUACCUGGAGAUAGAAUUACACCCAUUAGCUAACAAUAGCUCACAUGCAGAGAGAAAGCUUCAUUAUUUACUGAUUCCAGAGAGCUCAGUUCAGAGGCUGUUUAUUAACAAAAAUCCUAGAAUGAUUCAUCGGAUUAACGAAACGCGCUGUUCACUGAAGGUCAACAAAACACUUUUCUCCUUGCUCUGUAAAGUCUCCACAUAAUCACUGCUUGAUUGAGUUAAGGCAGGGUCAGAGACCCACAACACUUUUAUUCUGAUGUCACAUUGCUUUUAUAACCUGAUUUAAAUGACUCAGCUAUCGAGUGGACAGAAGAGCAGCUCUUCCAGGAUUGCUGAAUGCAGGCGGGCGCUCGUACCAUGCCGUGAAGGAAAGAGCAACCCCAGGAUACCGUAAGCUGUGAACACCCAACACCUAUACCUGGGUCACUUGUAGUUUUAUCCCUGAUCUUUCCCAGGGGAAUUUUCUACCACACUCAGGAGGGAGCAGAACAUCAUACAUCUUCUGGCGGGGCAGCGAGAGACCCAGGAGACAGACACUGUGGCAGCAGGAUCCCAGAGCACAGGGAGCGGGAAGAGAGGAGGCACAGAAAGCUGCCUGGCAGCGGGCACAGAGAUGCUGCAGAGACUGCGGAGCGGAGAUGAGGAGACCCUUCAUGGGAGACGGGGCCCCUUCUCCCCCGGCCUCUUGGUUGAGGUCCUGCCCAGAUCUUGAGGAUCCGAAGCCCAAACUCAACUGAGUCAAGAACGUCUACGGAGUGAAGCUACGGCAGCACCGCGCCUCUGUAACCGGUGGCCCUCCCCCAGCAUGAGGGCGCGAGGUAGCACGUGCACUGCUCUAGCUGGAAUUGUCCCGCACAGGAAGGGGGAGGGAUGGAGGAGGCUGCAGGGGACUUGCCUGUACUGAACGUCCUCCCCACAUUGCACCAGAACACAUCAUCCUGCCGUAGAUGAUAAUCAGUCCAGCUGCCAGGGUCAUAGAGACCUCGGGCUCUGGGUGUGUUGUGUACAAGGCAGUGCUGACCAGAGGAAAUGACGGGCUCCUCGCUGUGAGAACUCAUCCCUUCAUUCCCUGGGCUCCCCCAUGUAACCGGCCCUUUUCUCACACCCCUUUUCUCCCCCAUCUCCACAGCACCAACCCCACACUCUGUCCUCUACUUAGCAAUCACCACCCAUUAUACCCUUCUUCAUUCUUCACGGCCUCCUUUUCCCCAGGACCCACAAACAUACAUUUCUUCAGGUUAACAGGGACGCCGCUCACAGCACAUUACUUGCUCAGUUUUGUUUCCCACGGGUCACUGAAAACUGGAGACGACUGAGCUAUGGCAUUUGAAAAGGGUUCUCUCUGCCACACACCUGCCUGGUUGCACAUCACCUACCACAGCCUCUGUCUGUUCCCCAUGUGUCUGCAUUCACACACAAUUCACUCCUAAAUAUUAUAUAGGACUGAGAAGUUAUAUACCACUCCCCUCGUCACCCUGUAUACACAGAACCAACCCUAGGAGCCAUGUGAAUUGGGUAUCAGCCUAGGCCGAGCUGGUUCAUUUUCACAUUUCAGAAGUGGCCUGUGCACUCAGAUGCAAUCAGAAUGAGAGUGUGUGUGUGUGUGUGUGUGUGCAUGCACAUGUGCGCGUGUGUGCAACACACACCCAGUGGAAUGGAAACAAAACAGCGACAUUUCACAAAUGAAUGAAAAAUUUUCCCCGCAAAAUUAAGGGAGUGGUGUUUUACUGGAAAAUACACUCAGACAACAGAGUUGUUCCCUGAGGAGUCAAAUCUGAAUGCUAAUUUCAUUCAUUAAAUUUGAAUGGCAGAGGGAUUCUCGAUCUGUACAUCCAAUGCAGCGCUAGUGCGGAAGUCGCUGUCAACGUCUCUGCCUGCAGACCUGCCACGACGAAUAAGCAGGCUGUCUGCUCCCUCCCUGACUGAUUUCCAAAGGCUCAUUCAUGUGCAACACACAGCCACUUGCCUUCCCCACACAAUGCUCAUCCCCUCUACUGGAGCUUGGUUCAUCAGAGCAGAACUGCCAACCCUAUGCACUCAUAAAUGGGGCUGGAUUCCUUUUGUGUUUGGCUUGUCUUUUUCCACAGCCUUCGCAGUGCUGCAGGUCACAUUUUAAAACUUUUCUGAAACAAUCACAAUGACUAAACAAAAGCUGAGAUUCUUGCCUAAUUGUUCAUCUCCAGGAGCUGGGGCUUGAGGUGAAACCUCAAAUAGCACAGACAAUACCACUGGGAGAGUUGGCAGUAUUCUCACCAUGUGUACAUUCCUUGGGGUCACACACGGUAUUAGUAAUCUUCCCCCGCUUCCACUCCUGCUUUUGCACUAAUUUGCUCAAAUGGCAGCACUGAGGAUGGAGCUUUCAGAAGAGCUGGGCGCAUGUAUAACCAAGCCCAAAUACUCCAAAAUAUUGUGAGUGCCUUAAAAAUAACACCAUUAAAAAUACAUAAGUAAAUGCCAUGCUCAUUUUCUUGCUCUCCUGAUUUUUGGAACUUCAGGGUCACAUUUUGCAGAAAUGUACCUUUUUUGUAAACGGGAAGGGGAAAUGUUGAUACAAUCACUUGAUUCCAGGAACUAGGGCUUACAGAUCCAUGCAAAAUGUUCUGAGACUUGCAACAGGCUCCUGAGAAUGGAGGGCAUGGGAUAGCACCCACAGACAGGGUCAUAUUCUCAUAGGACUACAGCAUAUUGGGUGCUGAGCUCCUUUGAACCCUGGCCUGCAGGAGAGUCUACAAAAUGCUGUAAAGUCCCCUGGGGGGCAGUGACAAGG
This is a long non-coding RNA of Alligator mississippiensis (American alligator), 3215 nucleotides long. RefSeq lists it as uncharacterized. The record is from RefSeq and is a predicted model, not a curated record. The transcript is spliced from 3 exons. NCBI's taxonomy places the organism in Eukaryota, Metazoa, Chordata, Crocodylia, Alligatoridae.